Molecule: ribosomal RNA, 178 nt
Filed under: Lachnoclostridium sp. An76
Lineage: Bacteria; Bacillati; Bacillota; Clostridia; Lachnospirales; Lachnospiraceae
Description: partial 16S ribosomal RNA
Rfam family: Bacterial small subunit ribosomal RNA
Source: RNAcentral
GAAUACGUUCCCGGGUCUUGUACACACCGCCCGUCACACCAUGGGAGUCAGUAACGCCCGAAGUCAGUGACCCAACCGUAAGGAGGGAGCUGCCGAAGGCGGGACCGAUAACUGGGGUGAAGUCGUAACAAGGUAGCCGUAUCGGAAGGUGCGGCUGGAUCACCUCCUUUCUAAGGAA